UAAAAAACAUUUCUCUUCCAAUUGUAAACAAAAUAUAUCAAGCAAUGAAUUUUUGAGUAAUUAACUCGAAUUAUUGAAUUCAAAAUUUUGAACUAAGUAAACAUGUCUGAUUAAACUUUAAAGAAAAAUGUCACAUCUCUAUCGAAAAGUAGUUGCAAGUGCGUCUGUUAUGGCCUUCAUACCCAAACUUGCCACGAUGAUUUGAUGUUGAUGAAAACUUUUUGCUACUUUUCUUUUAUCUAUGUUUCUUUAGUUUUUCUGGUGGGCGUUUAUAUUUUGGAGGCAAAAUCACAUCUUCUAAUACCUCCGGUGGUAUAUGUCAGUCUCGUUUAUCGGGCAUUGAACUCAACGGCAUUUCACAAGUCUUCACUAGUGCCUCCCUCUUGUAGUAAUCUGAACAGUAUGGCUUUAUUUUCUUUACAUAUUUGCUUUUCAAAACAGCAAUAGCGUGCGCACAUGGUAUCUCAUCAAGCUGAAAUCUACAACAGUUGCAUGUUCUAUUAUCCAACCGAAUAAUGUAUUUUCUUCCUUCUUCAUACAGACCGUGUAUGUAGUUAGUUGAUUCCCUA
This 569-nucleotide long non-coding RNA is filed under the name Capsicum annuum. RNAcentral's name for it is "long non-coding RNA (CANN_LNC005734)". Lineage: Eukaryota; Viridiplantae; Streptophyta; Magnoliopsida; Solanales; Solanaceae. The record is from RNAcentral.